AGAGUUUGAUCAUGGCUCAGGAUGAACGCUGGCGGCGUGCCUAACACAUGCAAGUCGAGCGAGAAGUUUUAAACUGAUUCUUCGGAUGAAGUUUAAAAUGGAAAGCGGCGGACGGGUGAGUAACGCGUAGGCAACCUGCCCCAUACAGAGGGAUAGCUCCGGGAAACCGGGAUUAAUACCUCAUAAUACUUUAGUGUCGCAUGACACAAAAGUCAAAGAUUUAUCGGUAUGGGAUGGGCCUGCGUCUGAUUAGCUAGUUGGUAAGGCAAAGGCUUACCAAGGCAACGAUCAGUAGCCGACCUGAGAGGGUGAUCGGCCACACUGGAACUGAGACACGGUCCAGACUCCUACGGGAGGCAGCAGUGGGGAAUAUUGCACAAUGGGCGCAAGCCUGAUGCAGCAACGCCGCGUGAGUGAUGAAGGCUUUCGGGUCGUAAAACUCUGUCCUAAGGGAAGAAACAAAUGACGGUACCUUAGGAGGAAGCCCCGGCUAACUACGUGCCAGCAGCCGCGGUAAUACGUAGGGGGCAAGCGUUAUCCGGAAUUAUUGGGCGUAAAGAGUGCGUAGGUGGUUCUACAAGCCUUGGGUGAAAGGCUACGGCUCAACCGUAGUAAGCCUUGGGAACUGUAGGACUUGAGUGCAGGAGAGGAGAGUGGAAAUUCCUAGUGUAGCGGGUGAAAAUGCGUA
RNAcentral lists this ribosomal RNA (688 nucleotides) under uncultured Bacillota bacterium. Its description in RNAcentral is "bacterial SSU rRNA". It matches the Rfam family "Bacterial small subunit ribosomal RNA", at positions 8 to 692 of the family's 1533-position model. Lineage: Bacteria; Bacillati; Bacillota. The record is from RNAcentral.